Molecule: ribosomal RNA, 253 nt
Filed under: uncultured bacterium
Lineage: Bacteria
Description: partial 16S ribosomal RNA
Rfam family: Bacterial small subunit ribosomal RNA
Source: RNAcentral
GACAGAGGGGGCAAGCGUUGCUCGGAAUUACUGGGCGUAAAGGGCGCGUAGGCGGGAUGGCAAGUCGGUCGUGAAAUGCCUCGGCUCAACUGAGGAUCGUCGAUCGAUACUGCCGUUCUUGAGGAUUGCAGAGGAGACUGGAAUUUACGGUGUAGCGGUGAAAUGCGUAGAUAUCGUAAGGAAGACCAGUGGCGAAGGCGGGUCUCUGGACAGUUCCUGACGCUGAGGCACGAAGGCCAGGGGAGCAAACGGG